Molecule: ribosomal RNA, 177 nt
Filed under: uncultured Bacillota bacterium
Lineage: Bacteria; Bacillati; Bacillota
Description: uncultured Firmicutes bacterium partial 16S ribosomal RNA
Rfam family: Bacterial small subunit ribosomal RNA
Source: RNAcentral
GUCGCUAAUACCGCAUGAAGUGCCGGGUGGGCAUCCACCUGGCACCAAAGGAGCAAUCCGCCUUUAGAUGAGCUCGCGUCCCAUUAGCUAGUUGGUGAGGUAACGGCCCACCAAGGCGACGAUGGGUAGCCGGACUGAGAGGUUGAACGGCCACAUUGGGACUGAGACACGGCCCAG